AACUUUUAACAAUGGAUCUCUUGGCUCUCACAUCGAUGAARAACACAGUGAAAUGUGAUAAGUAAUGUGAAUUGCARAAUUCAGUGAAUCAUCGAAUCUUUGAACGCACCUUGCACCUUUUAGUUAUUCCAAAAGGUACGCCUGUUUGAGU
RNAcentral lists this ribosomal RNA (151 nucleotides) under Coleosporium solidaginis. Its description in RNAcentral is "5.8S ribosomal RNA". It matches the Rfam family "5.8S ribosomal RNA". Rfam says of the family: 5.8S ribosomal RNA (5.8S rRNA) is a component of the large subunit of the eukaryotic ribosome. It is transcribed by RNA polymerase I as part of the 45S precursor that also contains 18S and 28S rRNA. The record is from RNAcentral. Lineage: Eukaryota; Fungi; Basidiomycota; Pucciniomycetes; Pucciniales; Coleosporiaceae.